This 1493-nucleotide ribosomal RNA is filed under the name Varanus nebulosus (Clouded monitor). Its description in RNAcentral is "16S ribosomal RNA". It matches the Rfam family "Bacterial large subunit ribosomal RNA". Lineage: Eukaryota; Metazoa; Chordata; Lepidosauria; Squamata; Varanidae. The record is from RNAcentral.
AAUAUUACUAACCACUCAAAUCAUAAAUAAACCAUUACUACACGACCAGUAGCCUAAAACAUGCGAUCGAAAAUUAAACCAGAAGCAAUAGAGACAGUACCGCAAGGGAAAAAAAUGAAAUAAUACUACCUACCACACGUAUAAAAAAGCAGAGAUUAACCCACGUACCUUUUGCAUCAUGAUUCAGCAAGAACACCCGGCCAAAAUGACUUCUAGCCCGUCCACCCGAAAUCAAGUGAGCUACUUCCAGGCGGCCUAACAGGGCCUACCCAUCUCUGUUGCAAAAGAGAGAAAAGACCCAGAAGUAGAGGUGAAAAGCCAAACGAACUUGACGAUAGCUGGUUGCCUGAUAAAUGAAUUUCAGUUCACCUCUUAGCACUUCCCCGCAAACAAAAUAGCACCCCACAGCUAAGAACAUACUCAAUAAUGGAACACCACCAUUGAGACAGAACACAACCUGAACCAGAGAGACAUCAAAACCUCACCACCCGUAGGCCUCAAAACAGCCAUCGAAGACAAAAACGUUACAGUAUCUAUAACAAAAAUACCAUAAAUCAUCCCAACCUCCUGCAAACCAUCAGGCUACUCUAUAUCACUAUAGAGGAACUAAUGCUGAAACUAGUAACAAGAAUAAACCUUCUCUAGACAUACCCUUAAAUCAGCCCUAGAACACCUACUGACAAUUAACAGAACCCAACCCCAUCCACUAAUCACCCACUGUUAACCCGACACAGGAAUGUCAACAAGAAAGAUUAAAAGUUAAAAAAGGAACUCGGCAAAGCCAUUAUUCCGACUGUUUACCAAAAACAUAGCCUCUGGCAUUCACAGUAUCAGAGGUAACGCCUGCCCAGUGAGCAUAUUUCAACGGCCGCGGUAUCCUAACCGUGCAAAGGUAGCGCAAUCACUUGUCCCCUAAAUAGUGACUAGUAUGAACGGCCAUACGAGAAUAAACCUGUCUCUUUUGACAAAUCAGUGAAACUGAUCUUCCAGUACAAAAGCUGGAAUAUCAACAUAAGACGAAAAGACCCUGUGGAGCUUCAAUAUCACUCUACCUCCAUUAGCACAAAUAUUUUAGUUGGGGCAACUUCGGAACAAAACUAAACUUCCGAGCAUACUCCGGAAACACCGUUAUCAAGACAAACAUGUCAAAACCCGAGCCAGAUCCAGUAACCCACUGACCAACGAACCAAGUUACCCCAGGGAUAACAGCGCCAUCUUCUUCUAGAGCCCCCAUCGACAAGAAGGUUUACGACCUCGAUGUUGGAUCAGGACACCCCAGCAGCGCAGCCGCUACUAAAGGUUCGUUUGUUCAACGAUUAAAGCCCUACGUGAUCUGAGUUCAGACCGGAGCAAUCCAGGUCGGUUUCUAUCUAUGCACUAUUCUCUUCAGUACGAAAGGACAAAGAAAAUAGGACCCAUGUUUAAAACAAGUCCUCACCAACCCUGAAACAAUAUUAAACCCACAGUACCCGCACUGCCCAAAAACAGGACUA